Molecule: ribosomal RNA, 570 nt
Filed under: uncultured fungus
Lineage: Eukaryota; Fungi
Description: eukaryotic LSU rRNA
Rfam family: 5.8S ribosomal RNA (bases 208-361)
Source: RNAcentral
CGUAACAAGGUCUCCGUAGGUGAACCUGCGGAGGGAUCAUUACACAAAUAUGAAGGCGGGCUGGAACCUCUCGGGGUUACAGCCUUGCUGAAUUAUUCACCCUUGUCUUUUGCGUACUUCUUGUUUCCUUGGUGGGUUCGCCCACCACUAGGACAAACAUAAACCUUUUGUAAUUGCAAUCAGCGUCAGUAACAAAUUAAUAAUUACAACUUUCAACAACGGAUCUCUUGGUUCAGGCAUCGAUGAAGAACGCAGCGAAAUGCGAUAAGUAGUGUGAAUUGCAGAAUUCAGUGAAUCAUCGAAUCUUUGAACGCACAUUGCGCCCUUUGGUAUUCCAAAGGGCAUGCCUGUUCGAGCGUCAUUUGUACCCUCAAGCUUUGCUUGGUGUUGGGCGUCUUGUCACUAGCUUUGCUGGAGACUCGCCUUAAAGUAAUUGGCAGCCGGCCUACUGGUUUCGGAGCGCAGCACAAGUCGCACUCUCUAUCAGCAAAGGUCUAGCAUCCAUUAAGCCUUUUUUUCAACUUUUGACCUCGGAUCAGGUAGGGAUACCCGCUGAACUUAAGCAUAUCA